CAAACUGUUGUCGAUGAUGCAUGAAUUUAUAGACUGAAUGCAAAGUGAUGCACGAUUUAUUCGUCACUACCACUGAGACAACAGAACA
Lethenteron reissneri (Far Eastern brook lamprey) is the source of this 88-nucleotide small nucleolar RNA. RefSeq annotates it as small nucleolar RNA SNORD70. Lineage: Eukaryota; Metazoa; Chordata; Hyperoartia; Petromyzontiformes; Petromyzontidae. The record is from RefSeq and is a predicted model, not a curated record.